This 254-nucleotide ribosomal RNA is filed under the name uncultured bacterium. RNAcentral describes it as "partial 16S ribosomal RNA". It matches the Rfam family "Bacterial small subunit ribosomal RNA", at positions 524 to 776 of the family's 1533-position model. The record is from RNAcentral.
GACAGAGGGUGCAAACGUUGCUCGGAAUUACUGGGCGUAAAGCGCGUGUAGGCGGAUCGGAAAGUCGGGCGUGAAAGCCCCAGGCUCAACCUGGGAACUGCACUCGAAACUCCCGGUCUUGAGUGGUGGAGAGGGAAGUGGAAUUCCUGGUGUAGAGGUGAAAUUCGUAGAUAUCAAGCAGAACACCUGCGGCGAAGGCGGCUUCCUGGACCGAUUACUGACGCUGAGGCGCGAAAGCUAGGGGAGCAAACGGG